This 209-nucleotide unclassified non-coding RNA is filed under the name Hevea brasiliensis (rubber tree). The record is from RNAcentral. Lineage: Eukaryota; Viridiplantae; Streptophyta; Magnoliopsida; Malpighiales; Euphorbiaceae.
GUUGCAGGAGCCUUAAUUGUGACUUUGUACAAAGGCCAGCCACUGACAGGUGUUCCAUCACAAAAUAACCUAAUUCAUGAGUCCCUGCAACUGUUCCCAUCGAACUGGGUUUUUGGAGGAAUUCUCUGUGCAGCUGGAACAUUGUGCUUAGCUCUAUUAUUCAUUGUCCAGACUUGGAUUCUUACGGACUACCCUUCAGAGUUGAUGAU